This 377-nucleotide ribosomal RNA is filed under the name uncultured bacterium. RNAcentral describes it as "bacterial SSU rRNA". It matches the Rfam family "Bacterial small subunit ribosomal RNA", at positions 28 to 404 of the family's 1533-position model. The record is from RNAcentral.
GACGAACGCUGGCGGCGUGCUUAACACAUGCAAGUCGAGCGGGUAAGGCCCUUUCGGGGGUACACGAGCGGCGAACGGGUGAGUAACACGUGGGUGACCUGCCCUCAGCUCUGGGAUAAGCCUGGGAAACCGGGUCUAAUACUGGAUAUGACUCCAUGACGCAUGUUGUGGGGUGGAAAGCCUUGUGCGGCUGAGGAUGGGCCCGCGGCCUAUCAGCUUGUUGGUGGGGUGANGGGCCUACCAAGGCGACGACGGGUAGCCGGCCUGAGAGGGCGACCGGCCACACUGGGACUGAGACACGGCCCAGACUCCUACGGGAGGCAGCAGUGGGGAAUCUUGCGCAAUGGGCGAAAGCCUGACGCAGCGACGCCGCGUGA